UCCAAGUUGACCGAGUGGUCUAAGGUGUCAGACUUAAGAUCUGAUCCUCGAAAGAGGGCGAGGGUUCAAACCCCUCACUUGGAAACA
This is a non-coding RNA of Lichtheimia ornata, 87 nucleotides long. The record is from the annotation of a RefSeq genome assembly. NCBI's taxonomy places the organism in Eukaryota, Fungi, Mucoromycota, Mucoromycetes, Mucorales, Lichtheimiaceae.